AUGAACUGGAGUGCCUUGAAAAAUGUCUUGCAAGAUUAACGGGCAAAUUUUGGGGUAUGACAGCUGCCCCUGUUCAAUAUUCUUGAACCGAGAGAGUUAGAAUGGUAUGUACGCCAUUCAUGGUCUGGAGGUGGAAGAUUAUUGAACACUUAGAAUGCCCCAAAAAUUUGCACUUGUUAAUUAGUCUUGAUGGAGAUGGGCUUAAAG
RNAcentral lists this long non-coding RNA (207 nucleotides) under Lathyrus oleraceus (garden pea). Its description in RNAcentral is "Pisum sativum (pea) long non-coding RNA (PSAT_LNC015530)". Lineage: Eukaryota; Viridiplantae; Streptophyta; Magnoliopsida; Fabales; Fabaceae. The record is from RNAcentral.